RNAcentral lists this small RNA (127 nucleotides) under Marmota monax (woodchuck). Lineage: Eukaryota; Metazoa; Chordata; Mammalia; Rodentia; Sciuridae. The record is from RNAcentral.
GCUGGGCACAGUGACACAUGCCUGUAAUUCCUGCAACUCAGGAGGCUGAGGCAGGAGGACCUAAAAUUUAAAGCCAGCCUCAGUAAUAUAGUGAGGCUCUAAGCAUAUUAGUAAGACCCUGUCUCAA